This 590-nucleotide long non-coding RNA is filed under the name Strigops habroptila (Kakapo). RNAcentral's name for it is "lncRNA (ENSSHBG00005019364.1)". The record is from RNAcentral. Lineage: Eukaryota; Metazoa; Chordata; Aves; Psittaciformes; Psittacidae.
UUUUGUAUCAAAAAUAUCCAUUUUAUUGAACAAAAAUAUCGAUUUCAUUGAACUUGUGACACGAGGCCGCGGGAUCCAUCCGAGCGGGGGCACAUCUGGGGAGGGAGCAGCAUAACAGGGGUGUCAGGCCGGGCUGUGGGGACACAAAAAGGGGGGGGGGAGGUCAGGGGGGGUGCUCAGGGGGUGGGGGAGGGGCUGCAUCCCUUUACCCCCUCCCCCAGAGUCAGUGGUUGCUUCUCAGCAGCGGGUUCAGCCGAACGAGAUUCAAUUGGGGUCAUCACAAAGUGGGGGGGGACACCCCAAAACCAACCCUCCCCCUCCACCCCCACCCCGGCCCCCUCAGACCGUCCAUCGGGACGCAGCAUCCUCCUCCCCUCCCCCCGCCAGCACCAGUGGGUUCGACCUUGGGCAGGUCCUGGUGGCCGGGGGGGGGUCAGACGCGGAGGGGUUUCCUCAUCGGGGGCCGGCGGCCUCACAUUCAGCCCCACUGGCCAUCGUGGGGGUCACUCUCGGGGUUGCGUCACCCCCCGCCCCCCUGCAAAAACGAGGCUUAAUUAGGGCUGGCUCCCCGCGGCUGCGCGGACAAAAUG